GCCAACAUAGCUAAAAAAUCGAAUAAAUAUUCAAUACAAUCGUUGUUUAUACAAUGAAUUUGAUCUGACUGUUGAUUAUGAUAUACAUACAACAGUUACGCCAGAUAAUUAUUUGGGGCACAAGAGCCUUUUAAAAGCUGCAAUAGUUAUGGGUAUGAGCUCCAUGAACAAUUACACAAAACUAGUUUACUAACAUCUCUAUCAAAGGUCAUGUUUUCCACCUCAUGCCUAAUGGAAUCAAAAGGCUUGGAAGAUAGAUAACGAUCUCCAAAGCUAGGGAAUAUUACGAUAAUGAGUUUCCCAGCAUUUUCCAGUCUCUUUGCCAAUUUUAUUGCAGCAGCAGCUGCAGCUCCAGAAGAUAUUCCUACCGGUAGAGGUUAAGAAGCCCUGUAAUUUAGAUGGCAAAUGAAAAGAGCUUGUGGCAACAACAAUGGAAAAUGUUUAAAGAAAGUUAUUAUAUACCAACAAACAUUCUUUGAAGGCAAGCACCUUAGUUGUUUGAAUAGCUUCCUCAUUGUUACCUAUAAGAAGCAAUACCAUCACUGGAAAGUAAAUAAAUUACAAUUCAACAUAAGCAUUGAUAUUUCUAUUGGUUUUAGACUUACCUGGACAAUUUUAUCCAUUAUUUCAAUAUCCAUAACAUUAGCAAUAAUAUCAGAGCCAAUUUCUUGAAUCAGAUGCGGACCUUUAACAUAGGUUGCAAGCAUUUUUCUCAGGACAAAAAAAUCAAUAAUGAUAAAUAUGGCCACAUUAAAUGCAAUUGGAUGAAAAAUAAUUCAGGGAAAAAAGGGUCUUAUUUUCAAGAACUAGUUAAAUGGAAACUUCAAGAAUACUAAUGAGUUAAUUCAGUGAUAUUUUAUUCUUAUUCAAAACUAUAAAGUCAGCAAGUUCAAACCGUACUCUAGCUA
Molecule: unclassified non-coding RNA, 908 nt
Filed under: Hevea brasiliensis (rubber tree)
Lineage: Eukaryota; Viridiplantae; Streptophyta; Magnoliopsida; Malpighiales; Euphorbiaceae
Source: RNAcentral